AUGUUGGGUAUUGAGUCCAUCAGCCACCAUGCCGUUCCAAGAAUUUUACCUUCCGUGGAAGAGGAGGACAUGGACGAUCGUCGCAGUAAGGGAUGCAAAACCAACACCAUACGUGACUGCAAAGAAGGUGCUGAGGUACAGUGGACCAUUCUUUUCAUAGGCCUUCGUGUCAAAAUGGAACUGGGAGUCCACGAUGCUCGUGAUGUUGUACUUCUGCCCAGUCUCGGUGAAGAGCCCAUCCGAGAAGAUGGGGAAGUUCCGCGCCUUGUAGAAGUUGAACCAGUACGCGAUGGGCGUGAUCACGUACAUGAUGAUGAAGAAUCCUGCGGCGACAUUGGCGGUGGCGAACCAGGGGCUGGCGAGGGGGCUCCCGAGGUAGGAGGAGACGGAGGCCCAGUCAAGGCCGAUGGAGCCGAUGCCGAGACCGUAGAGGCCCGAGCCGAGCUGCUGGGCAAACACGGAGUUGGGGAAGACCCAACAGAUCCAGGAGAGGGAGGUGAGCAUCUGGAACAGGUAGCCCGGGAAGAUGUAGUAGACGAAGCUGCAGACGAAGGCCACCAGGAAGAACUGGCUGCGCGUGAAGCCGCCUUUGCUCCGCACUUCCUUCUCGUGGAGCGCCCUGGUUGGAAUUUCCAGGAGUGGUUUCAGAGAAUGGUUCGAAUCCGAAUCCGCAGCUCGCCGCCUUUCCCUGAGAGAGACAAAUGGAAUGGAAUUUCUCUCCGUUUUGUACAUGCUAUCUUACGGAAGAGAAAGACAUUUGUGCAUGAUCAUUCCUUUCCUGCCAUCCUGCGGUGCAUGUCGAUUAGCUCAGUGUCUUUCCCCUUGGGACUGACACAGGAGAUGAAAUUCCUCUCCUAUUUUGUUUGUACUACUCCCUCCGUCCCAAAAUAA
This 891-nucleotide ribosomal RNA is filed under the name Triticum aestivum (bread wheat). RNAcentral's name for it is "partial small subunit ribosomal RNA". The record is from RNAcentral. Lineage: Eukaryota; Viridiplantae; Streptophyta; Magnoliopsida; Poales; Poaceae.